RNAcentral lists this transfer RNA (73 nucleotides) under Felis catus (domestic cat). It matches the Rfam family "tRNA". Rfam says of the family: Transfer RNA (tRNA) molecules are approximately 80 nucleotides in length. The record is from Rfam by way of RNAcentral. Lineage: Eukaryota; Metazoa; Chordata; Mammalia; Carnivora; Felidae.
GCCUGGCUGGCUCAGUGGGUAGAGCAUGUGACUCUUGGUCUCACGUUCAUGAGUUCAAGCCCCAUGUAGGGCA